AGGAUCAGCAUGACUGUAGUGUUCCUGGCUUAACCCUGAGAGGUUGCUGUUCCCAGUGACUAUCUAGGCUGAAGCCCAUGUAGGAUUUGAAGAGACUGAUCCAGGCUUUAUGAGUGGCUGCGACCAUGCUGAUGCUGUAUCAUGUCUCAGACGACUGGAUUCCUAAAAACUCCCCAAAUGAAGCAGGUCCAAUUAGUAUGGUGUCACCAAUAUAUGGAUCCAUGCGAUUGAUUAUCUGUGGAGUGUCCGGAUGGUCCAGGACCCUUCAGAUUAUAUUACGAUGGAGAACAGGAAAAUUAACCAAAACCUGGGCAAGACUGCGAAUGUGUGCUACUAUCCAUCCCAGUUCUGGAGGCCGGAGUUGGAAAUCAGUUUCACUGGGCACACAUGGAGGUGUUUGAAGGGCUGCCCGUGCCAGAGGCUCUCAGGGAGAAUCCCUUCCUUGUCUGUUCCAGCUCUACCUCCUCCUCUGCUGUGUGGGGCUGAGCUGUUGUUCUAGAAGAAAAAAGGAUGUCUUGUCCUGUGUGAACUGGAACAGCGCUUAGAAAUCGAGGAGCGUGGCCCUGGGAACAGAGGCUGUGUGCUGUUGUUUUUGCUUCCUCAUUAAUGAGCAUGGGCCUUCAGUGAGCUCCUUUCCCUUGCUGGCCUUCAUUUGUAAAAUGUUGGCUGACGGCUAAGGGUGUUUAUUCCUCUAAAAUCACCUAAUUAGAAGAGAAGAAAGGAAAAUACAAAACAAAAUUAAAUAUAAGCAGCAUGUUCCACAUUUUAGACUUACUUAGAUUCUUAUCUCUCUGCAAUAAUCCUAAUGCUAAUUCACUUUCUCAGAGGUGUCCAGCGCAGGAUGGGCUUAGAUCAUCCGUGGAAUUGCUUGUUCUAUAAGCUUUAGUUACUUUGAUGACUGGAAGUAUGUAAGUUCAGAGACAUGCAUUAAAUACAUGUUUCUGGUUUUCCCCAAAUGACCCAUGGACAGAUAGGUGCCUGUAUUUAUUUUGUGUCAAAUUUCAUCUUAUUCAUUUAGUUGGAGACAUAGUUAUCUGAUGGGUUCUCUGGGGUAAUCAUUUAGAACUCCUGAACUUUAGCAAGAAGCUGUAAGAAAGUCCAAGUUCUUUUUCUUAAAACUUCAAAUAAGGUUCCCCAGUGAGUCUGGGGAAGGCCAUGACAUUGUCAGAAAAGCUGUUCCGUAUCUGUGCCUCCGAGGUUCCUGCACGGCACUGCUGAAUGGCCAAUUUGCUGCGAAUACGCAUCGAUCGUCUGAUGCACGGCGCUCUGCACUGAGGACACCGUGAAGAUGAACCGUGGUUCAUUCCAGGGGUUAGCUGAGUUCUGAAACUGGAAAGUGAACGACCAUUUAUCAGUAGGUGAAACAGAACUGUGCUGGAACACAGCCAGCGGGAGUUCAAUUAGGCAGAAACAAAUCGGGGGGAAAGGAAGGGAUGGCGUUCUGCAUGGGGCUCAGGCACCAUCUCCUUAGAAACGGCUGCUGCAAAGCCGCCGCAAUAAAUGCUCUGCUGAGUCUGUCCACAGCCCCACCCGGUAGAGAGGCCACUAAGGGACAAAGCCAGGAAACUCUGGCAGCUUUCUCUGCCACAGAAAGUGAACUGGUAGCAGCAAAGCUGGUUUAAAUACAUCUUAGAACAGAAAUAGGGAAGCUAGCUUCUUGGGGAGCUGUUCUGUGUUCUUGGCUUGUUUGUGUGUUUGGCAAGAAAUACAAUGGAAAAAGCCUCUCCUAUCAAACACAAAGGAUGCUUUCAUUAAGUCAUCCUUCCUUUUCAUUGGAUCAAAUGGUUUUCAAAAAUGGGAUUUCUGAUUCAAUUAAAUGAUGUGGGGAAAACUUGGGAGCUUCCAAUUAAGCUUAUUUUCCUCUCCUUUAAAAUUCCCUCCCCCCAUUUUUCUGGAUGUUUUAUAAUGUAUCUACUAUAUUCAUACAAUAGUGCAUGGUCAUUCUCUUUAAAUAAAUAAUUAUGAAUUUAAUGGGGA
Molecule: long non-coding RNA, 1977 nt
Filed under: Homo sapiens (human)
Lineage: Eukaryota; Metazoa; Chordata; Mammalia; Primates; Hominidae
Description: long independently transcribed non-coding RNA 2642, transcript variant 10 (LINC02642)
Source: RNAcentral